CUAAACAUACAAACCAUGGCAUAUAUCACGUUAUUUAUGUUUUCAUUUCGCCACACCAGCGGCACACCGCAUGGAUCUGUGGCCUGCUGUACAUCACACACACGGACACGGAAAGCAUCACAGGUGGGUGCAGCUCCGACCAUGCGAGUUUCACCGUCGACUGUGAUCUAGGACAUCUUGACGUGCUCCAUGCGCUGCCUCUCCAUGUACUCGAAGAGGCUGCCGUCGUACAUGCGCCGGAUGGCCUCCCUCGACAGGUACCCUUCGUCGUCCCGAGCCAGCACGUACAGGAACGACCACUCCAGCUUCAUCGCCACCCUGCAUCCGUCCAUCCAUCCCAUCUCACACCAGUUAGCUAUACAACAACAUAGCCGCAGCAUGCAGCAACUGAAACUGAAGGUUCAUUCAUGCUGAUCGUCGAGUAAAUUAGCCAGUUACCAG
Molecule: long non-coding RNA, 441 nt
Filed under: Triticum aestivum (bread wheat)
Lineage: Eukaryota; Viridiplantae; Streptophyta; Magnoliopsida; Poales; Poaceae
Description: long non-coding RNA (TAES_LNC024452)
Source: RNAcentral